This 74-nucleotide transfer RNA is filed under the name Enhygromyxa salina. RNAcentral's name for it is "tRNA-Glu". It matches the Rfam family "tRNA". From Rfam's summary of the family: Transfer RNA (tRNA) molecules are approximately 80 nucleotides in length. Their secondary structure includes four short double-helical elements and three loops (D, anti-codon, and T loops). Lineage: Bacteria; Pseudomonadati; Myxococcota; Nannocystales; Nannocystaceae. The record is from RNAcentral.
GACCCCUUCGUCCAGAGGCCUAGGACACCGGCCUUUCACGCCGGCAACACGGGUUCGAAUCCCGUAGGGGUCAC